UUUUUUUUAAUAUUUCAUUAAAUUAUAUGCAAAAAACUUCAGAUACCGAUCUAGAUUUAUCGAAUAUUUAUUUUAGUACCCUUUAAUUUUAACUUUGUCACUAAUUUAAGAAAAAAUAAUAAUAAAACUGAUACUAAAAAGAGAAAAACGAAACCACAGGGAGGCAAAUUGAUCCACUUUAAACCAUAGGGUACAAAAGUGAGAAACUGUGAAACCGCUAAGGAUUUUUUGAAGUUUUUCCUUAAAUUUUUUUUGGAAUAUAGAGAUUGCAAUGCUCUUGUGCAUGUUAUUUUCAUCAAUCAAGUAAGAAUUAAUGAUGGCAUUGGAGAAAUAAUGUACUUCCAAUCUUUGAUAUGUGUGUCAAAUCUAUAUUGAAUGGUGAUUGAUUGUUUGAUUGAAAUGAUGAUGUGGAGUGGGCCAUAUUAAUUCUAAUUAUAAUAUAAGUUAGAGUUAAUUACAUACAGAUUCCUACAAAUAUAAUGAAUUACAAAUAUAUCCUUACAAAUUUUAUUUUUCAUAUAUUGCCUAUACAAAAGUUCUGAUACUUUCAAAUAUGUUCCUAUAUUAGAAUCUGUUAGAAAAUUUUAGUUAAUCAUAGGUUAAUACUUAAUCAUGAUUAGUUAAUGAGAUAAAUUUACCUUUUUAUCCCUUUUCAAUUAAGGGUCGGGAUUUUUGGAGGGACAUAUUUGUGAUGGCAAAAAGAUUAUUUCACUUAUAAAAUAAACAGUAUUUUAACGAUAACAAACUAGAGGAACAUAUUUGAAAAUAUUAGGACUUUUGUAACGAUAAUCAAUAAAAGUUGAACUUAGUAGGAAUAUAUUUGCAAAUCACAAUAUUUGUAGAAAUCUGUAUGAAAUUAACCCUAAAAGUAUAUAAGUUAAUACUACAGUUCUAUAAUAAUUACUUUUAUAGUAACAGGUUCAUGAACCUUAAUUUCGUAGAAUAAUGGGCUAAGAGCGUGUUUGUUUAGAUUGAAGUCUGAUGCGGAAGUCGUGAGUUCAUAUAACUCGAGAUCGUCAGUGUCCGGAGGUAACGUCGACUUUCGAUUCUCAUGCAGCGCAGAGUUCAAGUCACUACAACAAAAUUAGGUUAUAGGGACACAUGUUUAGGAUAUGUUUAUAUAAGUAUCCAAUUUAUGCCAAAACUUAAAAAAAAAUCUACUAAUGUCUAAAUAUAAAGUCCAAUCCAACCAAAAAUAAAAGGUUACUCUACUCAACCCACCCCACCCAGCCCAUUCGGUCCGAUUACAAACAGAAAAGAAAAAGUAAAGAAAAAUUGAUUACCACUUCCCCUUCUUCCCUCACUCAAUCGACUGAAAUUCUAGACGAAGAUCCCUUCCUCUCGUCCUCCUCCGCCACCGCAGCCAACGAGAUAGAGUUCCGGCGGCUGCUAAAUACUUAAAUACAUAUUGAUAAAUUAGCAGCACUUUUUUAGGUUAUAGCGACACUCUUUAACUGUCGCUAUAUAUCUAGCGACCCCACAUAAGCAACACUUUUUAAAAGUGUCGGUAAUUUAGCCAGCAGUACUUUUUUUGACCUGUACCGGCAUUUAAAAGUGUCGUUAUAGACCAUUUUUGUUGUAGAUGUAUGGUGCGAACUCGUUACUCUGCGCUCGU
This 1615-nucleotide long non-coding RNA is filed under the name Ananas comosus (pineapple). RNAcentral's name for it is "long non-coding RNA (ACOM_LNC027690)". The record is from RNAcentral. Lineage: Eukaryota; Viridiplantae; Streptophyta; Magnoliopsida; Poales; Bromeliaceae.